UACGUAGGGUGCAAGCGUUGCCCGGAUUUAUUGGGCGUAAAGGGCGCGUAGGCGGCUCGGCACGUCCGUUGUGAAAUCGCCCGGCUCAACUGGGCGGGGUCAGCGGAUACGGUCGAGCUUGAGCAAGCUAGGGGGCAAUGGAAUUCCCGGUGUAGUGGUGGAAUGCGUAGAUAUCGGGAGGAACACCUAUGGCGAAGGCAGCUCGCUGGGACGUUACUGACGCUGAGACGCGAAAGCGUGGGGAGCAAACAGG
Molecule: ribosomal RNA, 253 nt
Filed under: uncultured bacterium
Lineage: Bacteria
Description: partial 16S ribosomal RNA
Rfam family: Bacterial small subunit ribosomal RNA
Source: RNAcentral